RNAcentral lists this small RNA (524 nucleotides) under Pongo abelii (Sumatran orangutan). RNAcentral's name for it is "processed transcript". Lineage: Eukaryota; Metazoa; Chordata; Mammalia; Primates; Hominidae. The record is from RNAcentral.
UGAAGGAAGAAUUUGAAUACAUUGCUUUUCGAUGUGCCUACUGUUUUUUCUUGAACCCUGCAAGAAAAACCAGACCUCAGGCUCCAAGACUUCCUGAGUUUAGUUUUGAGAAGAGGCAGGUGGUGGAAGGUUCAAGUUCAGUUGGUCCCUUGCCAUCAGGAAGUGUGCUUUCAUCAGACAACCAGUUUAAUGAAGUACAGUAUUGAGGCAGUCUGUCAGACAGAAUAUGACAAACUAUGUGGGCCUGUUUUCACUUAAACAUGUUUAUUGAAUCUUUAGAACAAGAUGUUCUUGAUAAUAAUACAGAGCAGACAGAUGACAAAAUACCAGCUACAGAACAGACAAACCAAGUGAUUGAAAAAGCAUCUGACUCAGAGGAACCAGAGGAGAAACAAGAGACUGAGAAUGAGGAAGCCUCAGUGAUUGAAACCAACUCCACAGUUCCCGGAGCUGAUUCUAUUCCUGAUCCUGAACUAAAUGGAGAAUCUUUGACCACAGAGUAGUAAAUGCUUCCAUGUGCCUUC